RNAcentral lists this ribosomal RNA (254 nucleotides) under uncultured bacterium. Its description in RNAcentral is "partial 16S ribosomal RNA". It matches the Rfam family "Bacterial small subunit ribosomal RNA", at positions 524 to 776 of the family's 1533-position model. The record is from RNAcentral.
CACGUAGGGCGCAAGCGUUGUCCGGAAUUAUUGGGCGUAAAGAGCUCGUAGGCGGUCUGUUACGUCUGCUGUGAAAACCCGGGGCUUAACCCUGGGCUUGCAGUGGAUACGGGCAGACUAGAGGCAGGUAGGGGAGAAUGGAAUUCCCGGUGUAGCGGUGAAAUGCGCAGAUAUCGGGAGGAAUACCGAUGGCGAAGGCAGGUCUCUGGGCUGGACACUGACGCUCAUGCACGAAAGCGUGGGGAGCAAACAGG